RNAcentral lists this ribosomal RNA (600 nucleotides) under uncultured Alphaproteobacteria bacterium. RNAcentral describes it as "bacterial SSU rRNA". It matches the Rfam family "Bacterial small subunit ribosomal RNA", at positions 54 to 699 of the family's 1533-position model. The record is from RNAcentral. Lineage: Bacteria; Pseudomonadati; Pseudomonadota; Alphaproteobacteria.
CAUGCAAGUCGAACGAAGUAGCAAUACUUAGUGGCAGACGGGUGAGUAACAUGUAGGUAUCUGCCCUUUGGCCUGGAAUAACACGAGGAAACUUGUGCUAAUACCGGAUAAGUCUUUACGGAGAAAGCUUUAUGCACCAUUGGAUGAGCCUGCACUUGAUUAGUUUGUUGGUGGGGUAAUGGCCUACCAAGACUUUGAUCAAUAGCUGAUUUGAGAGGAUGAUCAGCCACAUUGGGACUGAGACACGGCCCAAACUCCUACGGGAGGCAGCAGUGGGGAAUCUUGCACAAUGGAGGAAACUCUGAUGCAGCGAUGCCGCGUGAGUGAAGAGGGCCUUUGGGUUGUAAAGCUCUUUCGUCGGGGAAGAAAAUGACUGUACCCGAAUAAGAAGGUCCGGCUAACUUCGUGCCAGCAGCCGCGGUAAUACGAAGGGACCUAGCGUAGUUCGGAAUUACUGGGCUUAAAGAGUUCGUAGGUGGUUGAAAAAGUUGGUGGUGAAAUCCCAGAGCUUAACUCUGGAACUGCCAUCAAAACUUUUCAGCUAGAGUUUGAUAGAGGAAAGCAGAAUUUCUAGUGUAGAGGUGAAAUUCGUAGAUAUUA